This 400-nucleotide ribosomal RNA is filed under the name Fuligo septica. RNAcentral describes it as "SSU rRNA". It matches the Rfam family "Eukaryotic small subunit ribosomal RNA", at positions 1261 to 1646 of the family's 1831-position model. Lineage: Eukaryota; Evosea; Eumycetozoa; Physariida; Physaraceae. The record is from RNAcentral.
CUCAAUGAUGUAAGUGGUGGUGCAUGGUCGUUCUUAGUUCGUGGAUUGAUUUGUCUGGUCUAUUCCGAUAACGAGCGAGACCCCAGCGUUCCUAGUAGGGCCAACAGCCCGACCAGCCGCAAGGCUGGUUAGCUGGCGGCUUAACAUAAGCUUCUUAGACGCAUCAGGGCCGAUAAGGUCCUUGAAAUGGGUUAAUAACAGGUCAGUCAUGCCCUUAGAUGUUCUGGGCCGCACGCGCGUUACAAUGGCAUGUAAAGCGAGUGCCGGUUAACAUGGCAUAUCCGGGGCCGAAAGGCUCUGGUAACCAUUAGUCCCUGCUUAGACUGGGACAGAUCAUUGCAAUUAUUGGUCUCAAACGAGGAAUUUUUAGUAAGCAUAGGUCAUUAACCUUUGCUGAAUG